UUUCCGUAGGUGAACCUGCGGAAGGAUCAUUAUUGUAUAGCCGAGGUGCGAGGGCUGUCGCUGACCCGAAAGGUCGUGCACGCCCGAGUGCCCUCACACACAUCCAUCUCACCCCUAUGUGCACCACCGCGUGGGUUCCCCUUUGGCUUGUUCGGAGGGGGGCUUACGUUUUCACACAAACUUUGUAUGCAGUGUAGAAUGUAUUUUUUGUUUUUGCGAUCACGCAAUCAAUACAACUUUCAACAACGGAUCUCUUGGCUCUC
This 263-nucleotide unclassified non-coding RNA is filed under the name plant metagenome. Its description in RNAcentral is "partial contains small subunit ribosomal RNA, internal transcribed spacer 1, and 5.8S ribosomal RNA". The record is from RNAcentral.